GAAUUUUUUUCUGGCUAAGUUUGUAUAUUUAUCUUAGUAAAUAACUGAAGUUGGAAAAAUACACCUUGAUUUUACUGAAGAUCUGUACACUUACAGUUAGUCUUUAAUACCAAUGGUUCUUCAGUAGUUCAGGUUUAAAGAAUAAGGGUAAGUGAACCAUAUGUAAAAGCUUUUCUCUGCUACCGUUCUUCUCAGCAUUUUCUGUUGCCAUACAGGUUUUACUAUCUUUUAAGCUGACUCUCUUCUGCAGUUUGUAUUGGUAAAUAGCAAAGAUUGGAGGAGACACCAAGCAAAGGAGACAGGUUCUGGAUUUAGAUCUGAAGACUUUUUCUCUUGCACUUGAAGUCUGUUCUUUAAGUAGCGAACUAUAUAUUGAUUAGGAGAAUUUCCAUUUUUUGCAGUAUGCAAAUAUUGCUAGCAUUUUAGAAAUACUGAUGGAAGUGUCAUAAGAGUCUACAGAAGAUGGAAAGUGUGAGGUAUUUUGGAAAGGAAAAAAUGUUAAAUGAUUAAGUUCAUUCACCUAGAUGAAUAAAAAGCCACAUAAGAUUUGGAAAGGACUUGUGUAGGACAGAACACUAGAGAAUGGAGAAAUUUUAUAGAAUGAAAAAUAGGCCUGAUUCUAAAUAUUUAAAACUUCACUGGUCCUGAAAUUUAAGGUCCGAUAGCAAUUACUGUAUGCUGUGUUCAGUGGUAAAUGUGGUAGAAUGAUUCUUCCAGCUGUGUGAAUUGUUGCAAUUGUCCUACCCAUUUACAGACUGGUUCCACAAAGAGACUCUGCCUCAGUGUUUUGCACCAGUUUUGUAGGGUAAAAUAAAUUUUUUCCAGUGGAAAAGUAAGAUAAUAGUUUUGGAAUUCUUUCUUCCACAAGAAGAUUUUGAAAGAAAGAAAACAAACUCAGAUACUUUCCUUCUAAGUUUUGCUAAUGGUGUUGUUUAGAAGGAAGGUAUUGAUACAGAAUUAAAAAUGAUGUAAAAUGAAAUACAAAAGAACAGGUGAUGCUAUUUAAUAAUGUUAACACAAUGUUUUAAAGAACCAGAAGAGACCAGAACUGAAAAAUUCUAGAUCAUUCCAUUGUAUUACAUACUUUGAAUUCAUUUAUCAUUUGAAGCAUUGAAGUCUAAGUGUGAAACUGGAAAACUAGAGAGAAAGAAGGAAGAAAGUGAAGCAUACAGUAAAAAAGCUAUUUUGAGAUGAAGAUGAUCUUGGGAGGAAUGUUUGAAAAAGAUGGACAAAGCGUUACAUCAGUUUCAAUGGGAAGGGGUACUCUCUUAUCUUGAAAUAUAUGGGUCUUUAAGAUAAGUUCAGGAAAAUUUUGAUAGUCUUAUUAAAUGUUAAUAUAUCCCAUUCAGAUAUCCAAGGUGAAAGUGCUUGAUAUAGUUUUAUUGGGUCAGGAAAGAUUUACUUUUCUUCUGUUUUGUGUGCAGGUUUUGUAAUCUCUAUUCAAAGUUUGUAGAACAGUUUGGUAGAGAUUUUGUGGAAUGCUUUUUUUUCAGCUAGAAGACCUUACUUUUUUUUCAUAGAAUCAUAGAAUCAUAGAAUCACCAAGGUUGGAAAAGACCUGAAAGCUCAUCCAGUCCAACCGUUCACCUAUUCCCAAUAGCUCCCACUAAACCAUGUCCCUCAACACAACAUCCAGUCUUUCCUUGAACACCCCCAGGCUCGGUGACUCCACCACCUCCCUGGGCAGUCCAUUCCAGUGCCUGACCACCCUUUAUGAAAAGCAAUACUUCCUCAUGUCCAGCCUGAAUCUCCCCUGCCGUAGCUUGAAGCCAUUCCCCCUGGUCCUAUCACUAAUGACAUGAGAGAAGAGGCCGACCCCCAGCUCACUACAACCUCCCUUCAGGAAGUUAUAGAGAGCAAUGAGGUCUCCCCUGAGCCUCCUCUUCUCCAGGCUGAACAUUCCCAGCUCCUUCAGCCUCUCCUCAUAUGGCCUGUGCUCCAGACCCCUCACCAGCUUUGUUGCCCUCCUUUGAACACGUUCCAGGGCCUCAAUAUCUUUCUUGCAGUGAGGGGCCCAAAACUGGACACAGCACUCGAGGUGCGGCCUCACCAGUGCUGAAUAUAGGGGAACAAUCACCUCUCUGCUCCUGCUUGCAACACUGUUUCUGAUGCAAGCCAGGAUGCCAUUGGCCUUCUUGGCCACCUGGGCACACUGUCGGCUCAUGUUCAGCCGAGCAUCAAUCAAUACCCCCAGGUCCAUUUCCUCUACACAGUCCUCCAGCCACACCGCCCCAAGCCUGUAGCGUCACCUGGGGUUGUUGUGGCCGAAGUGCAGGACCCGGCAUUUGGCCUUGUUGAAACUCAUCCCAUUGGCUUCAGCCCAACUCUCCAGCCUGUCCAGAUCCCUCUGUAGGGCCUCGCUACCCCCAGGCAGAUCCACACUUCCAGCCAAUUUGGUGUCAUCUGUGAAUUUACUGAGGGUGCACUCGAUGCCCUCAUCGAGGUCAUCAAUAAAGAUAUUGAAGAGGACAGGCCCCAGCACCGACCCCUGGGGAACACCACUCACAACCGGUCACCAGCUGGAUUUGACUCCAUUCACCACCAC
This is a long non-coding RNA of Tympanuchus pallidicinctus (lesser prairie-chicken), 2545 nucleotides long. RefSeq lists it as uncharacterized. The record is from RefSeq and is a predicted model, not a curated record. Lineage: Eukaryota; Metazoa; Chordata; Aves; Galliformes; Phasianidae. The transcript has 2 exons.